Molecule: non-coding RNA, 223 nt
Filed under: Clostridiales bacterium
Lineage: Bacteria; Bacillati; Bacillota; Clostridia; Eubacteriales
Description: 6S RNA
Rfam family: 6S / SsrS RNA
About the family: E. coli 6S RNA was the first non coding RNA to be sequenced, but its function was unknown until recently. It consists of 184 nucleotides that fold into an extended hairpin structure with a large single-stranded internal bulge.
Source: RNAcentral
UUCUACCUGCGGUGUGCGUGAAAAGCAAGUAAUAUUUAACCACAAAACUUAAACGGGAUUGCUCGUAUACGCGUAUUAUGUCGGGCCGCAACCGUUCCGAGGUGAACGGUUUUCCUAUCUCGCAAGGGAUAGCAAACAGCGGAAGACAGCGGACGCGGUCGGCUUGCCCACCUGCCAAUCGGCGGGUUAAAAUUAAAGCUGUAAACGGCAUUGCGGGGCACUU